GACGAACGCUGGCGGCGUGCCUAAUACAUGCAAGUAGAACGCUGAAGGAGGAGCUUGCUUCUCCGGAUGAGUUGCGAACGGGUGAGUAACGCGUAGGUAACCUGCCUGGUAGCGGGGCAUAACUAUUGGAAACGAUAGCUAAUACCGCAUAACAGUAGAUAUUGCAUGAUAUCUGCUUGAAAGGUGCAAUUGCAUCACUACCAGAUGGACCUGCGUUGUAUUAGCUAGUUGGUGAGGUAACGGCUCACCAAGGCGACGAUACAUAGCCGACCUGAGAGGGUGAUCGGCCACACUGGGACUGGGACACGGCCCAGACUCCUACGGGAGGCAGCAGUAGGGAAUCUUCGGCAAUGGACGGAAGUCUGACCGAGCAACGCCGCGUGAGUGAAGAAGGUUUUCGGAUCGUAAAGCUCUGUUGUAAGAGAAGAACGAGUGUGAGAGUGGAAAGUUCACACUGUGACGGUAUCUUACCAGAAAGAGACGGCUAACUACGUG
This 495-nucleotide ribosomal RNA is filed under the name uncultured bacterium. Its description in RNAcentral is "partial 16S ribosomal RNA". It matches the Rfam family "Bacterial small subunit ribosomal RNA", at positions 28 to 507 of the family's 1533-position model. The record is from RNAcentral.